This 256-nucleotide ribosomal RNA is filed under the name uncultured bacterium. RNAcentral's name for it is "partial 16S ribosomal RNA". It matches the Rfam family "Bacterial small subunit ribosomal RNA", at positions 524 to 776 of the family's 1533-position model. The record is from RNAcentral.
UACGUAGGCAGCGAGCGUUGUUCGGAAUUACUGGGCGUAAAGAGUGUGUAGGCGGUGCUCUAAGUUCGGUGUGAAAUCUCCCGGCUUAACUGGGAGGGUGCGCCGGAAACUGGAGUGCUCGAGCGUGGGAGAGGAAAGUGGAAUUCCCUGGUGUAGCGGUGGAAAUGCGUAGAGUAUCAGGAGGAACACCGGUGGUGUAAACGGCUUUCUGGACCAUAACUGACGCUGAGGCACGAAAGCGUGGGUAGCAAACAGG